CAGCCUUUUUAUUGACUCAUAGUAAACUUACACAUGCAAGCAUCCCCGCCCCAGUGAGAAUGCCCUCUAUAUCAAAUCAACUGAUCAAAAGGAGCAGGUAUUAAGUUCACUAAUCCUAAGUAGCUCACAACGCCUUGCUAAACCACACCCCCACGGGACACAGCAGUGAUUAAAAUUAAGCCUAUAAACGAAAGUUUGACUAAGUUAUACUAUUUAGAGGGUUGGUAAAUUUCGUGCCAGCCACCGCGGUCAUACGAUUAACCCUAGUCAAUAAAACACGGCGUAAAGCGUGGUUAAGAAAUACGCACAAAUAAGACUAAGCUUAAACUAAGCCGUAAAAAGCCCUAGUUAUAAUAAAAAUAUUGUACGAAAGUAGCCUUAAUAUCUCUGAACCCACGAUAGCUAAGACCCAAACUGGGAUUAGAUACCCCACUAUGCUUAGCCCUAAACAUAAAUAUUUAAUUAACAAAAAUAUUCGCCAGAGUACUACUAGCCAUCGCUUAAAACUCAAAGGACUUGGCGGUGCUUUACAUCCCUCUAGAGGAGCCUGUUCUAUAAUCGAUAAACCCCGAUAAACCUCACCACCCUUUGCAAUAUCAGCCUAUAUACCGCCAUCUUCAGCAAACCCUAACAAGGUCUUACAGUAAGCACAAUAAUAGUACAUAAAAACGUUAGGUCAAGGUGUAGCUUAUGGGGUGGAAAGAAAUGGGCUACAUUUUCUAUCCCCCUAGAACAAUUACAACGAUAGCUUUUAUGAAACUAUAGAAAGCUCAAGGCGGAUUUAGUAGUAAGCUAAGAAUAGAGAGCUUAGCUGAAUUGGGCAAUAAAGCAC
RNAcentral lists this non-coding RNA (832 nucleotides) under Eupetaurus nivamons (Yunnan woolly flying squirrel). Lineage: Eukaryota; Metazoa; Chordata; Mammalia; Rodentia; Sciuridae. The record is from RNAcentral.